CCUACGGGCGGCUGCAGUGGGGAAUAUUGGACAAUGGGCGAAAGCCUGAUCCAGCCAUGCCGCGUGUGUGAAGAAGGCCUUCGGGUUGUAAAGCACUUUCAGUGGGGAAGAAAGCCUUGGGGCUAAUACCCUCGAGGAAGGACAUCACCCACAGAAGAAGCACCGGCUAACUCCGUGCCAGCAGCCGCGGUAAUACGGAGGGUGCGAGCGUUAAUCGGAAUUACUGGGCGUAAAGCGCGCGUAGGCGGUCUGAUAAGCCGGUUGUGAAAGCCCCGGGCUCAACCUGGGAACGGCAUCCGGAACUGUCAGGCUAGAGUGCAGGAGAGGAAGGUAGAAUUCCCGGUGUAGCGGUGAAAUGCGUAGAGAUCGGGGGGAAUACCAGUGGCGAAGGCGGCCUUCUGGACUGACACUGACGCUGAGGUGCGAAAGCGUGGGUAGCAAACAGGAUUAGAUACCCUUGUAGUC
RNAcentral lists this ribosomal RNA (465 nucleotides) under Vreelandella stevensii. RNAcentral describes it as "partial 16S ribosomal RNA". It matches the Rfam family "Bacterial small subunit ribosomal RNA", at positions 338 to 795 of the family's 1533-position model. The record is from RNAcentral. Lineage: Bacteria; Pseudomonadati; Pseudomonadota; Gammaproteobacteria; Oceanospirillales; Halomonadaceae.